UAAAACAGUUAUAGUUUAUUUGACAAUCGAAUUUACAUGGAUAACCGUGGUAAUUCUAGAGCUAAUACAUGCUGGUGUGCCCGACUUUUUGGAAGGGCGGUAUUUAUUAGAUAACAAGCCAAUAUUCCUCGUGUCUAUUGUGGUGACUCAUAAUAACUGAUCGAAUCGCAAGGCCUAUGGCCGCGAUAAGUCAUUCAAGUUUCUGCCCCAUCAGCUUUCGAUGGUAGUGUAUUGGACUACCAUGGCGUUUACGGGUAACGGAGGAUUAGGGUUCGAUUCCGGAGAGGGAGCCUGAGAAACGGCUACCACAUCUAAGGAAGGCAGCAGGCGCGUAAAUUACCCAAUCCUGAUUCAGGGAGGUAGUGACAAGAAAUAACGGACCGAGGCCCUCGGGCUUCGGGAUUGCAAUGAGCCGAAUUUACACCCCUUAGCGAGGAUCGAUUGGAGGGCAAGUCUGGUGCCAGCAGCCGCGGUAAUUCCAGCUCCAAUAGCGUAUAUUAAAGUUGUUGCAGUUAAAAAGCUCGUA
RNAcentral lists this ribosomal RNA (526 nucleotides) under uncultured eukaryote. RNAcentral's name for it is "SSU rRNA". It matches the Rfam family "Eukaryotic small subunit ribosomal RNA", at positions 102 to 632 of the family's 1831-position model. The record is from RNAcentral.